RNAcentral lists this ribosomal RNA (468 nucleotides) under uncultured bacterium. RNAcentral describes it as "partial 16S ribosomal RNA". It matches the Rfam family "Bacterial small subunit ribosomal RNA", at positions 28 to 507 of the family's 1533-position model. The record is from RNAcentral.
GACGAACGCUGGCGGCGUGCUUAACACAUGCAAGUCGAACGGAAAGGCCCUGCUUUUGUGGGGUGCUCGAGUGGCGAACGGGUGAGUAACACGUGAGUAACCUGCCCUUGACUUUGGGAUAAUUUCAGGAAACUGGGGCUAUUACCGGAUAGGAGCUCCUGCUGCAUGGUGGGGGUUGGAAAGUUUCGGCGGUUGGGGAUGGACUCGCGGCUUAUCAGCUUGUUGGUGGGGUAGUGGCUUACCAAGGCUUUGACGGGUAGCCGGCCUGAGAGGGUGACCGGCCACAUUGGGACUGAGAUACGGCCCAGACUCCUACGGGAGGCAGCAGUGGGGAAUAUUGCACAAUGGGCGGAAGCCUGAUGCAGCAACGCCGCGUGCGGGAUGACGGCCUUCGGGUUGUAAACCGCUUUCGCCUGUGACGAAGCGUGAGUGACGGUAAUGGGUAAAGAAGCACCGGCUAACUACGUG